Molecule: transfer RNA, 400 nt
Filed under: uncultured Microcystis sp.
Lineage: Bacteria; Bacillati; Cyanobacteriota; Cyanophyceae; Chroococcales; Microcystaceae
Description: bacterial LSU rRNA
Rfam family: tRNA (bases 133-206)
Source: RNAcentral
AAGGGAGACCUAAUUCAGGUAGGAGACGAAAAAAAGUAGUCCCUACCAAGAAUCAAUCCCAAAAGGUCGGAGCGAGGCAAAAUGGCUUUCAAACUAGGUUCUGGGUUCACAUAAGACCUGAAUCAGGAACAAGGGCUAUUAGCUCAGGUGGUUAGAGCGCACCCCUGAUAAGGGUGAGGUCCCUGGUUCGAGUCCAGGAUGGCCCACCUGCACAGGUGGCAAAAACAAAGAAAAGAAGCUCCGAAUCAGCACCUUAUCUUACUCAUAUAGUAAGAGAGAAUGCUGGCUCUGAGUUCAGAGUCCAGAGGAACCUUGAAAACUGCAUAGAGCUAGGUGAAAAAGCCAAGAAAGAAGACCGCAAGGUCAAGCUAAUAAGGGCUAACGGUGGAUACCUAGGCAC